This 459-nucleotide ribosomal RNA is filed under the name uncultured bacterium. RNAcentral's name for it is "partial 16S ribosomal RNA". It matches the Rfam family "Bacterial small subunit ribosomal RNA", at positions 338 to 795 of the family's 1533-position model. The record is from RNAcentral.
CCUACGGGAGGCUGCAGUGAGGAAUAUUGGUCAAUGGGCGAGAGCCUGAACCAGCCAAGUCGCGUGAGGGAGGACGGCCCUACGGGUUGUAAACCUCUUUUGCCGGGGGACAAACGGCGGCACGCGUGCCGUCCUGAGGGUACCCGGAGAAAAAGCAUCGGCUAACUCCGUGCCAGCAGCCGCGGUAAUACGGAGGAAUCGAGCGUUAUACGGAUUGAUUGGGUUUACAGGGUGCGUAGGCGGGAUGCCAAGUCAGCGGUCAAAUACGGGGGCUCAACCUGCGUCCGCCGUUGAAACUGGCGUUCUUGAGUGGGCGAGAAGUACGCGGAAUGCGUGGUGUAGCGGUGAAAUGCAUAGAUAUCACGCAGAUCCCCGAUUGCGAAGGCAGCGUACCGGCGCCCAACUGACGCUGACGCACGAAAGCGUGGGUAUCGAACAGGAUUAGAUACCCUUGUAGUC